CCAAUAGCGUAUAUUAAAGUUGUUGCAGUUAAAAAGCUCGUAGUUGAAUUUUGGAUUCUGCCAGUCGGUCCAUCUUUUGAUGAGUACUGGUUGUGCGGGGUCUAUCCGCCUGGGGAUACGUAAUGUACUUUAUUGUAUGUUGCGGGUAGCCAGGACCUUUACCUUGAAAAAAUUAGAGUGUUUAAAGCAGGCUUAUGCCGGAAUACAUUAGCAUGGAAUAAUAGAAUAGGACGAUGUUGUUUUAUUUUGUUGGUUUCUAGGACAACCGUAAUGAUUAAUAGGGAUAGUUGGGGGCAUUAGUAUUCAAUUGUCAGAGGUGAAAUUCUUGGAUUUAUUGAAGACUAACUACUGCGAAAGCAUUUGCCAAGGAUGUUUUCAUUAAUCAAGAACGAAAGUUAGGGGAUCGAAGACGAUCAGAUACCGUCGUAGUCUUAACCAUAAACUAUGCCGACUAGGGAUCGGGCGAUGUUGUUUCCAUGACUCGCUCGGCACCUUAUG
RNAcentral lists this ribosomal RNA (498 nucleotides) under uncultured Glomeromycotina. RNAcentral describes it as "partial small subunit ribosomal RNA". It matches the Rfam family "Eukaryotic small subunit ribosomal RNA", at positions 591 to 1092 of the family's 1831-position model. The record is from RNAcentral. Lineage: Eukaryota; Fungi; Glomeromycota.